AGUCUCGUUCUGUCACCCAGGCUGGAGUGCAGUGGCAUAAUUUCAGCUCAUGGCAACCUCCGCCUCCAAGGUUCAAGUGAUUAUCAUGCCUCAGCCUCCCAAGUAGCUGAGAUUACAGGCACCUGCCACCACACCUGGCUAAUGUUUGUAUUUUUAGUAGAGGUGGGGUUUCUUUUCAAAUCAUACAUUCAUCAAUUUUGGUAUCUUUAUGCUAUUUAAUAAAUAGAAAAUUUUCCUUCUUUUAAUUCCUCUGGAAUUGUUUUUUCAGCUUUACUAAAGGUAUAUCUGACAAUUUAAAAUUGUGUCUAGGGAGUGGCUGGAGUGGCAGCUGGGCAGCAAGACUAACUCUGGAUCCACCAGGCCAGGUGUCGUGUACAGAGGCUGGGACAGCCAUCCCCAACUCCAAUGCCCAGUCCCCAGCACACCAGCACUUUCUGGUGAUGUUGCACAUUUAUGGUGAUUCUGAGUGUGGGAGCAGACUUCUGCCAG
This 489-nucleotide small RNA is filed under the name Pan troglodytes (chimpanzee). RNAcentral's name for it is "processed transcript". Lineage: Eukaryota; Metazoa; Chordata; Mammalia; Primates; Hominidae. The record is from RNAcentral.